GGUCCAGGUGUGGAGAAAAAAUCAGAUUGCCUGUGGCCCCCAGGCUCCUUCCCCAGCUGCUUCUGUCCUAGCUGAGGCCUGGGUGCCAUUCUUACACUCUCACAGUCGUGUGCUUGCACCUGCACACAUCACACACCUUGCUGGUCACACAGUCACAGCCUGGCCUCUACUCCUGUGGUCCAGUGGCUGGACACCCCCUGAGAUGGCUCAAAGGAGUCAGGACUUGGAAGUGGGGACAUCCGGGUAGCUGAAGGAAAUCCACACACCCAGACUCUCAGACCUGAGGUAGGCUCCCCAGGGGCUGGGAUAGGAGUUGGAC
RNAcentral lists this long non-coding RNA (319 nucleotides) under Homo sapiens (human). RNAcentral describes it as "HSALNT0288764". The record is from RNAcentral. Lineage: Eukaryota; Metazoa; Chordata; Mammalia; Primates; Hominidae.